UUCCACUUCCGGAGUUCAGAGGUCAGCAGUUGCUGCUGCCUGGGGAAGGGCAGCCGGCAGCCGACUCAAAGCAGCAUCCUGCACCCUCAAUGACCUGAAACUAGAGUUGUGGGCAACGUCUAGGUCACGGACUUCAGCCCACUCUGCCUAGAAGGGUCCUUCUCACUCUUUGGAGUAGAUGAGCACGCUGUUUUUCUCCCCUGCCAUGAUGCUGGUCCCUCAUAGACCCUAAAGCAACAGGACGAACUAUCCCUGGUCUGAGACCUCGGAAACGCGACCCGCCACUGCCCUUUCUCUUCGGUACCUCUGGUGUUUCUUACAUGGACCAAGCCUUUUCAUACACCCACUGUGCCGCAGUUUAUAAGCCUCUACACAAGGCCUUCUCCCCAUCAGUGAGAAGAUCCUUUGAGGGAGAAAGAGUUCUGAAUUCCCUCUGUUUCCCCAAUACCCACACAAGAAAGUGCUUCCGUGUUGACUAAGUGAAUCCUAACCAAAGCUCUCAGAAUAAUUUGGGAUGUCCCAUUCAGAUCACCAUUGAGAAAGCUCCCUUGUGGGCUGGAGAGGUGGCUCAGUGCCUAAGAGUGAGCAGUGCUGUCCAGUGCCCUGAUCUGGGAGUCUUGCAGCUGCCUAUAACCUCUAGUUCUAGAAGAUCGGAUGCCUCUAGUGUCUAUGAGCACCUGCGUGGGACACACACACACACAAUUAAAAUUAAAUCUUUAAAAACUAAAAUCCCCUUGUGACUGCCACAGUGAAGUUCUGAAGCCCAGACAUCUGCAGACCUUGUCUAACUGGCUGGGUCAUCGAUGUUUAGCCUUCUCUGGGUACAGUUGUCCUCAUAGCUGCAGGGCGCCAUUGUUCUGGAGUCCCUGUAGCCACAGGCAGAGUUAUAUGUACACAUUCAGCAAAUGAGCCACGUUCCAACAAAAUUUGAUUUCUA
Long non-coding RNA from Mastomys coucha (southern multimammate mouse), 937 nucleotides. RefSeq lists it as uncharacterized. NCBI's taxonomy places the organism in Eukaryota, Metazoa, Chordata, Mammalia, Rodentia, Muridae. The record is from RefSeq and is a predicted model, not a curated record. The transcript has 2 exons.